RNAcentral lists this ribosomal RNA (2994 nucleotides) under marine eukaryotic metagenome. RNAcentral describes it as "Bacterial large subunit ribosomal RNA". It matches the Rfam family "Bacterial large subunit ribosomal RNA". The record is from RNAcentral.
GUCAAGUUAUUAAGGGCCAACGGUGGAUGCCUUGGCGUCAAGGGCCGAUGAAGGGCGUAGCACGUCUGCGAUAAGCCUCGGCUAGCUGUCAAGCAAGCUUAACCGGGGAUUCCCGAAUCGGGGAACCGGUCCUAGAGAAACUAGGACAUCCUCAGCUGAACACAUAGGCUGAGGGGGGUAACCAGGGGAACUGAAACAUCUAAGUACCCUGAGGAAAAUAAAGCAACCGCGAUUCCCUAAGUAGUGGUGAGCGAAAGGGGAUCAGCCUAAACUGGCAGGGUUUAGUGGCAUGAGGGCCUAUACCUUGCCGGGGUUGUACGGCACACCAGCAUGAACCUCAAAGAUUGCGCAGAGUUACAAAUCUGUUUUCUAGCUGAAGGAACCUGGAAAGGACCGCCAUAGGGGGUGAUAGCCCCGUAAGCGAAAGAAUUCAGACUCUGGGUGUGUUCGUGAGUACCACGGGACACGAGAAAUCCCGUGGGAAGCUGGGGGGACCACCCUCCAAGGCUAAAUACCCUUGACGACCGAUAGUGAACAAGUACCGUGAGGGAAAGGUGAAAAGAACCCCUGAAGGGGAGUGAAAUAGACCUGAAACCGUGGGCCUACAAGCGGUCGGAGCCUCGAUUUAUCGGGGUGACGGCGUGCCUAUUGAAGAAUGAGCCGGCGAGUUACUCCUGUGUGGCAAGGUUAAGGAAUUUAUACGUUCCGGAGCCGUAGCGAAAGCGAGUCUGAAUAGGGCGUUCAGUCGCACGGGGUAGACCCGAAACCGGGUGAGCUACCCAUGGCCAGGGUGAAGCCUCGAUAGUCUCGAGGUGGAGGCCCGAACCCGUGUACGUUGCAAAGUGCUGGGAUGAGCUGUGGGUAGAGGUGAAAUUCCAACCGAACCCGGAGAUAGCUGGUUCUCCCCGAAAUGCAUUGAGGUGCAGCCUCUAGGGAGAGGAACGGAGGUAGGGCUCUGAAUGGGCUAGGGGGCGCAAGCUUACUGAACCCAAUCAAACUUCGAAUGCCGUUCUGUCUAUGCCUAGGGAGUGAGACAGUGGGGGAUAAGCUCCAUUGUCGAAAGGGAAACAGCCCAGACCACCAAUUAAGGUCCCUAAAUACAGGCUAAGUGUCAAAGGAAGUAUGGUCACCCAGACAACCAGGAGGUUGGCUUAGAAGCAGCCACCCUUUAAAGAGUGCGUAAUAGCUCACUGGUCGAGGGGUUCUGCGCCGACAAUUUAACGGGGCUUAAGUAUAUCACCGAAGACGUGGCAUCAGUUUACUGAUGGGUAGGGGAGCGUUCUGUAGGCAGUGAAGUCUAGUUGUAAAGCUAGGUGGAGCGUACAGAAGUGAGAAUGCAGGUAUGAGUAGCGUAUAUCUCGGUGAGAAUCCGAGACGUCGAAAAUCUGAGGAUUCCUACGCAACGUUUAUCGACGUAGGGUUAGUCGGUCCUAAGGUGUAUCCGAAAGGAGUAACCGAUGGACAGUAGGUCAAAAUUCCUACACCACCUAUUAUUCGUUUUAAUACAAAGGGGGGACACGGACAGGUAGGCUGAGCGUGCCUAAUGGACAUGGUGCGUUCUUCUUUGAAGGCCAUCUCGCAAGACAUGUAAAUCAGUUAGCGAGGUUAUGAGCUGAGGAAGGAGAGAACUCUAGGGCUCGCCCUGGGGGAUUCGGUUGAACCUAUGCCGUCAAGAAAAGCCUCGUUGUAAGGAUAGUGGGUGACCGUACCGUAAACCGACACUGGUAGAUGAGCAUGAAAGUGCUAAGACGGUCGAGAGAACUCUGGUUAAGGAACUCGGCAAAAGGACCCCGUAACUUCGGGAUAAGGGGUUCCCUCGGGGUGAAGUCUAUUUACUAGACCAGCUCUAGAGGGACACAGCAAAUUGGCCCAAGCGACUGUUUAUCAAAAACACAGGUCUCUGCUAAGGGGUAACCCUAGGUAUAGAGGCUGACGCCUGCCCAGUGCCGGAAGGUUAAAGGGAAAGGUUAUCCGUAAGGAGAAGCUUUGAACUGAAGCCCCGGUGAACGGCGGCCGUAACUAUAACGGUCCUAAGGUAGCGAAAUUCCUUGUCGGGUAAGUUCCGACCCGCACGAAUGGCGUAACGAUCUGAGCACUGUCUCGACGAAGGACUCGGCGAAAUUGCAUUGUGCGUGAAGAUGCGCACUACCUGCAGCUGGACAAAAAGACCCCGUGGAGCUUUACUGCAACUUGGCGUUGGAGGCUGGCCGUUGAUGCGUAGGAUAGGUGGGAGGCUUUGAUUUAAUGGUUUCGGUCAUUAAUGAGCCGUUGGUGAAAUACCACUCUUCUGCGUUUAUCCUCCUAACUUGUGUGCAAGCAUGAGAACAGCGUCUGGUGGGCAGUUUGACUGGGGCGGUCGCCUCCCAAAGAGUAACGGAGGCGUGCAAAGGUUCCCUCAAGGUGGAUGGCAAUCACCUUUUGAGCAUAUUGGUAUAUGGGAGCUUGACUGCGAGACAGACACGUCGAGCAGGGACGAAAGUCGGCCAAAGUGAUCCUACGGUUCUGUGUGGAAGGGCCGUGGCUUAUCGGAUAAAAGCUACCCCGGGGAUAACAGGCUUAUCUUGCCCAAGAGUUCAAAUCGACGGCAAGGUUUGGCACCUCGAUGUCGGCUCGUCGCAUCCUGGGGCUGAAGAAGGUCCCAAGGGUCCGGCUGUUCGCCGGUUAAAGCGGCACGCGAGCUGGGUUCAGACCGUCGUGAGACAGGUCGGUCUCUAUCCGCUGUGGGCGUAGGAAGUUUGAGAGGAGCUUUCCCUAGUACGAGAGGACCGGGAAGGACGUACCUCUGGUGUUCCGGUUGUCCCGCCUGGGGCACCGCCGGGUAGCUAUGUACGGAACGGAUAAGCGCUGAAAGCAUCUAAGUGCGAAGCCGGCCUCAAGAUGAGACUUCCCACCCGAAAGGGGUAAGGUCGCAGAGAGACUAUCUGCUUGAUAGGCCGCAAGUGUAAGUCCAGUAAUGGAUUCAGCUGAGCGGUACUAAUCGACCGAGGGCUUGAC